GACCGGAAGGACUGGUGGAGCGCUUAGAAGUGAGAAUGCCGGUAUGAGUAGCGAAAGAAGGGUGAGAAUCCCUUCCACCGAAUAUCUAAGGUUUCCUGAGGAAGGCUCGUCCGCUCAGGGUUAGUCGGGACCUAAGCCGAGGCCGAUAGGCGUAGGCGAUGGACAACAGGUAGAGAUUCCUGUACCAGUGCUAAUUGUUUAACCGAUGGGGUGACACAGAAGGAUAGGGAAUCGCACGAAUGGAAAUGUGCGUCCAAGCAGUGAGUGUGAGAAGUAGGCAAAUCCGCUUCUCGCGAAGCAUGAGCUGUGAUGGGGAAGGAAAUUAAGUACGGAAGUUCCUGAUUUCACGCUGUCAAGAAAAGCCUCUAGGAAGAGUAGUACUGCCCGUACCGCAAACCGACACAGGUAGAUGAGGAGAGAAUCCUAAGGUGAGCGAGAGAACUCUCGUUAAGGAACUCGGCAAAAUGACCCCGUAACUUCGGGAGAAGGGGUGCUCUAUUAGGGUGCAAGCCCGAGAGAGCCGCAGUGAAUAGGCCCAGGCGACUGUUUAGCAAAAACACAGGUCUCUGCAAAACCGUAAGGUGACGUAUAGGGGCUGACGCCUGCCCGGUGCUGGAAGGUUAAGAGGAGUGCUUAGCUUCGGCGAAGGUACGAAUUGAAGCCCCAGUAAACGGCGGCCGUAACUAUAACGGUCCUAAGGUAGCGAAAUUCCUUGUCGGGUAAGUUCCGACCCGCACGAAAGGCGCAACGAUCUGGGCACUGUCUCAACGAGAGACUCGGUGAAAUUAUAGUACCUGUGAAGAUGCAGGUUACCCGCGACAGGACGGAAAGACCCCGUGGAGCUUUACUGCAACCUGAUAUGGAAUGUUUGUACCGCUUGUACAG
This 885-nucleotide ribosomal RNA is filed under the name Listeria monocytogenes. RNAcentral's name for it is "partial 23S ribosomal RNA". It matches the Rfam family "Bacterial large subunit ribosomal RNA", at positions 1259 to 2141 of the family's 2925-position model. Lineage: Bacteria; Bacillati; Bacillota; Bacilli; Caryophanales; Listeriaceae. The record is from RNAcentral.